RNAcentral lists this ribosomal RNA (558 nucleotides) under uncultured bacterium. RNAcentral's name for it is "bacterial SSU rRNA". It matches the Rfam family "Bacterial small subunit ribosomal RNA", at positions 314 to 873 of the family's 1533-position model. The record is from RNAcentral.
UGGUACUGAGACACGGACCAGACUCCUACGGGAGGCAGCAGUGAGGAAUAUUGGUCAAUGGGCGAGAGCCUGAACCAGCCAUGCCGCGUGCAGGAAGAAUGCCCUAUGGGUUGUAAACUGCUUUUAUCAGGGAAUAAACCUUUCUACGUGUAGGAAGCUGAAGGUACCUGAUGAAUAAGCACCGGCUAACUCCGUGCCAGCAGCCGCGGUAAUACGGAGGGUGCAAGCGUUAUCCGGAAUCAUUGGGUUUAAAGGGUCCGCAGGCGGAUUUAUAAGUCAGUGGUGAAAGCCUAUUGCUCAACAAUAGAACUGCCAUUGAUACUGUAAGUCUUGAAUUCGGUCGAAGUGGGCGGAAUAUGACAUGUAGCGGUGAAAUGCUUAGAUAUGUCAUAGAACACCGAUAGCGAAGGCAGCUCACUAGUCCUGGAUUGACGCUCAGGGACGAAAGCGUGGGAGCAAACAGGAUUAGAUACCCUGGUAGUCCACGCCGUAAACUAUCAAUACUCGAUAUUAGCGAUAUACAGUUAGUGUCUAAGCGAAAGUGAUAAGUAUUGCACC